UGAAGCUGUGCAGAGCAGGGCUGCUUCUGAGGGGGCUGCUACCAGGACAGUUGCUUCUCAAAGAUGACUGGCAGAAGAGUUGCUUCUUGAAGAUGACUGGCAGAAGAGUGAGCUGCUACUGAGGGCUGAGGAGCCAUCAGCUAAGGAGUACUCAGGAUUGCCUGAAAAGAAAUUGAAGCACAUUGACACCAUCUUUGCUACAGCCCACAGGAGAAACAAAAAGUAAAACCUAGUCCCAUAGAAGUCAAUGGUGACAUUACCAAUGGGAACAAUCUUCAUCAUUCCUCAGAAUUCAUGUCUUUUUGCUCAAGAAGAUUAUGCCACAUAGAGAACUCUCCAUCUUGGAUAGCAGAAGAAAGAAGAUUUCUGAAUGACUGACAAAGGAUGCAAAGAAGAUGGUACAAGAAGCUAUACAGAACCAAAGAAUGGCAGAAGCAUAUUAAAAUAGAUUCUUUAUGUCACUUUUAGAGUGGCAGACACACAAAGAAUACAAGACAUACAAAGAAUGCAUACAAUAUGUAAAGAUGGAUUGUGUAUAUGUUUGUGCCUACACCAAUCUUUCUUAUGUUGCACUUGUACACAGUUGCUUGUACUACCUCAAUUCUCAAAAGACAGACCUUACUAAAUAAAGGUACUAAGGCCAGCAUGCUAAGCAGGGUGCAGAAACCAAUCAAUAGGAAGUGUGGAAAGAUGAGAGAGGAGUUUGGAACCCUGCCCUCCACUGGAGCUUAAUAGUAGUCUGGAACGUUGACUCU
Molecule: long non-coding RNA, 755 nt
Organism: Alligator sinensis (Chinese alligator)
Lineage: Eukaryota; Metazoa; Chordata; Crocodylia; Alligatoridae
Exons: 3
Source: RefSeq, a predicted model, not a curated record